UAGGGAAUCUUCCACAAUGGACGCGAGUCUGAUGGAGCAACGCCGCGUGAGUGAAGAAGGUUUUCGGACCGUAAAGCUCUGUUGUUGGUGAAGAAGGAUAGAGGUAGUAACUGGCCUUUAUUUGACGGUAAUCAACCAGAAAGUCACGGCUAACUACGUGCCAGCAGCCGCGGUAAUACGUAGGUGGCAAGCGUUGUCCGGAUUUAUUGGGCGUAAAGCGAGCGCAGGCGGAAGAAUAAGUCUGAUGUGAAAGCCCUCGGCUUAACCGAGGAAUUGCAUCGGAAACUGUUUUCUUGAGUGCAGAAGAGGAGAGUAGAACUCCAUGUGUAGCGGUGGAAUGCGUAGAUAUAUGGAAGAAUACCAGUGGCGAAGGCGGCUCUCUGGUCUGCAACUGACGCUGAGGCUCGAAAGCAUGGGUAGCGAACAGGAUUAGAUACCCUGGUAGUCCAUGCCGUAAACGAUGAGUGCUAAGUGUUGGGAGGCUUCCGCCUCUCAGUGCUGCAGCUAACGCAUUAAGCACUCCGCCUGGGGGAGUACGACCGCAAGGUUGAAAC
Molecule: ribosomal RNA, 554 nt
Filed under: uncultured bacterium
Lineage: Bacteria
Description: partial 16S ribosomal RNA
Rfam family: Bacterial small subunit ribosomal RNA
Source: RNAcentral